UGGGGGAAUUUUGGACAAUGGGCGAAAGCCUGAUCCAGCAAUGCCGCGUGUGUGAAGAAGGCCUUCGGGUUGUAAAGCACUUUUGUCCGGAAAGAAAUCCUUGGCUCUAAUACAGUCGGGGGAUACGGUACCGGAAGAAUAAGCACCGGCUAACUACGUGCCAGCAGCCGCGGUAAUACGUAGGGUGCAAGCGUUAAUCGGAAUUACUGGGCGUAAAGCGUGCGCAGGCGGUUUGCUAAGACCGAUNUGAAAUCCCCGGGCUCAACCUGGGAACUGCAUUGGUGACUGGCAGGCUAGAGUAUGGCAGAGGGGGGUAGAAUUCCACGUGUAGCAGUGAAAUGCGUAGAGAUGUGGAGGAUACCGAUGGCGAAGGCAGCCCCCUGGGCCAAUACUGACGCUCAUGCACGAAAGCGUGGGGAGCAAAACAGGAUU
Molecule: ribosomal RNA, 432 nt
Filed under: uncultured bacterium
Lineage: Bacteria
Description: partial 16S ribosomal RNA
Rfam family: Bacterial small subunit ribosomal RNA
Source: RNAcentral